Molecule: long non-coding RNA, 2210 nt
Organism: Gambusia affinis (western mosquitofish)
Lineage: Eukaryota; Metazoa; Chordata; Actinopteri; Cyprinodontiformes; Poeciliidae
Exons: 3
Source: RefSeq, a predicted model, not a curated record
CCCUGAGUGUACUGCAGUAUCUUCUCUAGCAGAACUGGAUACUUUGUGAUGCGCUGCGUGACCAACAGGAUGAACUCUGGCACUUCUCUUCGUCUGACCAGAGAGUUAUUACUCUGUUGCUGUCAGAAGAGAAGGAAUCUCUUUGAAGACAUUGACAGCCUCCAUGUGGUGACUGCAAAAUUCUCCGUACACCUGCUUCAUCGUCUCAGCGUUUUCAUCAGAGAACUGAAGGAGUUGACAAUGACGGUGAUGACCACUAACAUCGAUCUCUGAUUAUCACUGACUGCCAACCUGCCACCACCAACCUGCUGAAGAAGUACGUCUCCAAUUCGAUGGAUGAGGAGCUGAAGAUGAUGGGGAAGAGCAGGCAGAGGAAGAGAAAAGAAAAGCCGAAGAACUUUCCUUAGCAAAACCUGGAAGAUAAACAGGAAUAUGAACCAGACUCAGUGUGGAGUUGGAGUUGGCAAGUUAUUUGUAUCUGGAUUUCAGAUUAAAAGUGUUUUUAAUGCUUUUAGUGUUUGAUGUUUUAGUAAUACCAUUUCUGUGGUUUAACAUUUUUUAAAUGACAUGCCAAAUAAUGACUAGAGUUUUUUCUGCUCCAUUGCCUCUGCCACAAGAUUUUGCUAAAACUGCCAGCCAGCUAGCUGAAAGUAAGUCCCCUCUUACGUUUAGGUGCUUACAAGAAAGGCUAAAUCGACUGGUCAUUGUCAUUGUUGCUGAUCUAUUCACAUAAUAUCCUUAUCAACAGAUUAGCCACCAAAGUUGGCAUCAACACAAAACUGAACAUGUCUCUUUUGUGCAACUCAAUUGAAACAAAAUUCAUGUCCAGCUCCUUUUUAGUCAUAUCUUCUUUGUGUUUUACUUUUUUACCCUUAUUCACACCUUCUGCAAAUGCAGCGUAUUUUUUAACCUCCCAACUCCUUUUGCAACUUCUAUCAGUUUUUUAAAAUUUAAAACCAACAGAAGUCCUUGUCGGCACAAAAUGCAGAAUAAUGAAACAUGGGAGUUCUCUAAUUAAAAUUGACAACACACCAGUUCUUCCAUCCCCUCAGGUUGAAAAACUAACUGUUAUUCUCAACUGAACUCGGGUUCUUUCAGGCACACAUUAUCAAGAUAAUAUCUUCAACAUAUUUCUUUCUGCUUAGCUUUAAUAGCCUUCUCUCAUCUGUUGCUCCAAGCAACACUGUGUUAUCACUUGAUCUACAUAUCAUGUUUCUUGUCACUGUAUGGUUAUCAUGAGGGCCAGAGCUUCCAGCUACUUUGCCCUCUGGAAUUUCCUUUUACUGCAACUCCACCAGUAAAAGAGACUGAACUUGUAAAAAGAUUAUCAAAGCAGAAGCAGACACAUUGUAGAGUUAAAUCACACAAACCCUCUUGUGUUGUUUUAGGAUGAUCAAAUCAUAGGUAGUUCCUCUGAUUUCUCAAAGAUUUCUGAUAGUAACCCUUAAAUAAUCUAACAUUUUGUGGGACCAUUCCAGUAGAAGCAUCUGGAUUUUACUAUUGUCCUCCAGAGCUGCUGACAGGAAGUUAGCUCUUUCCACUUUCAUUCUCAUAUUAAAACAAAGCUGUUCAACUCACUCUGAUGAUAAUUUGUCUUAUUGAUUUUAAAAGUAUGUACAGUAUUUUUAAACUUUUAACUUUUCUCUGGUUUUAGGUUGUUUUACUUCUGAAAAAUAAUCUAAAAGGUGGAUAUAAACAAAAUAUGUUGCACAGUAAGUGCUUGAAAAUGUCAACUAAAGUUAGUAGUUGUGCUUUAAUGUUUUAACUUGAAUUUUUGCACCACAUUGAAAAUAGCAAAAACUGUUAUUGAUUGCAGUACUAUCAUAGUAACAAUUGGGGAUUUUCUGUUGUAACUGAAAGGAUCAAGAUGAUGUUAGAUAUGUUUAUUUUAAAUCUUUGCUGUACUACUCAGGGUUAUCAUGCCAGCCUAGUUUCAAAGACUUGUGGAAUACUUGUAUAUAUCCUUUCAAAAGCUUUCAAUUCCUGAAGAAAUGCAGUAGAUGACAUUAAAAAUGUAUUGGAUUUCAUUUUCUUAACUGAUAAUUUCGUAUUAAUUACUUCAGAUUAUGAGCAAUCUUAAUUUACCAAUAGUGCAAGAAAAAGGUGAGCGCAAAAACACACAUAAAGACAAUCCAGGCUUCACCCCCAGCUGAGGUGGAUUGAAGUUUAACUGUACAGACUGGGGGACGAAGGGCAGAGGUUUACUGAAC